CUGGCGGGUCGUCCUAUCGCUCAAGUAAUUGGGAGGAAAGUCCGGGCAGGAGAGAGCAAUGCACUGUGGAAAGCACAGAUAGGCGAUGAGUUUAUGCAAGGGUAACAGAGAAUUACCGCCGCAGGAGCGUCAAGUUUCAUACUUGCAACAAGGCUGGUCAACCCGGCCUUUGCGCGCAGCAGGAGACCAUACGGUUGCCGGACUGCAACACUGCGGUAAGGGUGAAAAUGUGGGGUAAGAGCCCACGGGCUUCAAUGGCGACAUUGUUGCGGUAUCCUACUGCAUCCUGCAAGGCCAUGUAUACCGGCAAUCAAGGGUUGCUCGCCCGUUGCCGGGGGGUAGGCUGCAACAGAUAAAUGAUAGGAGCCUCUUAGGGUGGCCGUGAGGUACACCAGUCUGAGGUACAGAACUCGGCUUAUAGAUCCGCCCUAUAA
RNAcentral lists this RNase P RNA (434 nucleotides) under Bacteroidales bacterium. Its description in RNAcentral is "RNase P RNA component class A". It matches the Rfam family "Bacterial RNase P class A". From Rfam's summary of the family: Ribonuclease P (RNase P) is a ubiquitous endoribonuclease, found in archaea, bacteria and eukarya as well as chloroplasts and mitochondria. Its best characterised activity is the generation of mature 5'-ends of tRNAs by cleaving the 5'-leader elements of precursor-tRNAs. The record is from RNAcentral. Lineage: Bacteria; Pseudomonadati; Bacteroidota; Bacteroidia; Bacteroidales.